This 475-nucleotide RNase P RNA is filed under the name Natronobacterium gregoryi. It matches the Rfam family "Archaeal RNase P". Rfam says of the family: Ribonuclease P (RNase P) is a ubiquitous endoribonuclease, found in archaea, bacteria and eukarya as well as chloroplasts and mitochondria. Its best characterised activity is the generation of mature 5'-ends of tRNAs by cleaving the 5'-leader elements of precursor-tRNAs. The record is from RNAcentral. Lineage: Archaea; Methanobacteriati; Methanobacteriota; Halobacteria; Halobacteriales; Natrialbaceae.
GGGAGAGAGAGCCCGGCUGCCGCGGGCGUCGUGCGACGCGCGCGAGGAAAGUCCCCCCACCUGUUCGGGCAGGUGACCAGACGCAAGUCCGGGGCGGGAGACCGCUGGCUCUGGAACAGAAACGACACGUCUCGGCCCGACCGAUGAUGCGUGCGAACCCGACCGCGAGGAAGGGGAGUUGACCCGCAGAGGGAGUGUGGUCGGUAUCCCGUGGUUCGAAUCCACGGAUUGCGAGCGCGGUUCGACGCGUCUCUGACGCGGGACCCGCGACCGAGUGCGACGGCACGAGCCGUCGAACACGCACGGCGCGAUUGACCACACUGAGACGGCCGAGGAGCGAUGGAACGGCGAACCCUCACCGGUGCAAGUCCGUGCCGUGGUAGCCCGAACAUCUCGCGGCUCCGCCGCGAACGGCGCGGACGCUUAGCCGAAUGCUGGGACGAACAGAAGGGGGCUUACUCCUCUCACCCGUUUU